UAGGGAAUCUUCGGCAAUGGACGAAAGUCUGACCGAGCAACGCCGCGUGAGUGAAGAAGGUUUUCGGAUCGUAAAACUCUGUUGGUAGAGAAGAACGUUGGUGAGAGUGGAAAGCUCAUCAAGUGACGGUAACUACCCAGAAAGGGACGACUAACUACGUGCCAG
Molecule: ribosomal RNA, 165 nt
Filed under: uncultured bacterium
Lineage: Bacteria
Description: partial 16S ribosomal RNA
Rfam family: Bacterial small subunit ribosomal RNA
Source: RNAcentral